RNAcentral lists this transfer RNA (77 nucleotides) under Candidatus Heimdallarchaeota archaeon B3_Heim. RNAcentral describes it as "Candidatus Heimdallarchaeota archaeon B3-JM-08 tRNA-Val". It matches the Rfam family "tRNA". From Rfam's summary of the family: Transfer RNA (tRNA) molecules are approximately 80 nucleotides in length. Their secondary structure includes four short double-helical elements and three loops (D, anti-codon, and T loops). RNAcentral also lists the same sequence under 1 other name. Lineage: Archaea; Promethearchaeati; Candidatus Heimdallarchaeota. The record is from RNAcentral.
GGGCCGGUGGUCUAGCCCGGUAUGACGCUAGUCUCACACACUAGAAGUCGGUAGUUCAAAUCUGCCUCGGCCCACCA